RNAcentral lists this ribosomal RNA (422 nucleotides) under Enterococcus faecalis. RNAcentral describes it as "bacterial SSU rRNA". It matches the Rfam family "Bacterial small subunit ribosomal RNA", at positions 29 to 429 of the family's 1533-position model. The record is from RNAcentral. Lineage: Bacteria; Bacillati; Bacillota; Bacilli; Lactobacillales; Enterococcaceae.
ACGAACGCUGGCGGCGUGCCUAAUACAUGCAAGUCGAACGCUUCUUUCCUCCCGAGUGCUUGCACUCAAUUGGAAAGAGGAGUGGCGGACGGGUGAGUAACACGUGGGUAACCUACCCAUCAGAGGGGGAUAACACUUGGAAACAGGUGCUAAUACCGCAUAACAGUUUAUGCCGCAUGGCAUAACAUUUAAAGGAGCUUUUGGGUGUCGCUGAUGGAUGGACACGCGGUGCUUUCCAUUCUUGGUACGUGAACGGCUCACCAAGGCUACGAUGCAGACCCCACGUGAGAGGGGGAUCGGCCACACUGGGACGGAGACCCGGUCCUUCCUCCUACGGGUCGCUGCAGUGGGGAAUUUUCCUGUAGGGACGGAUGUUAGACCGAGCAACGCCUGUUGAGUUAAGUCCUUUUCUUCAUCGGAUA